GCUGCUGGUGGUGGCCAGAGUAGGUUGGAUCUCCAAAUACCCAGCAGCGAAGUAUGAAGUAUGUGUCCUGCUUUCCUGGAACUUUCCUUUAACUGGCAUUUAAAUGUAGUUCACAGAACGAAUGCGUAGGAAACAAAGACAAUAUUUCACACCUUUAGUGUCAUUUCAACUACAGAACGGUGCUCCUAACACAGUGUAAGAGGACAAGCUGAAAAGCACAGCCUCUUCUAUUUCUCGGAAUCCCCGGCAGCUCCUGGAGAUUCCAGCUCCCACCCCAGGCAGAAGCCUGCAGACGCUCGCGGGCGCCACCACCCGGCGGAUGUGUUUGUUGCCGCUCUGCUCUUUGAUGGACAGAUGUGGGCGCUCACUGUGACCCUGUGGUCUGCCUUCCAGAAGCAGAGUUGCAUAACCGACCGUCAUCCAGUUACCCUUCGCAGUACCUGAGAGUCUUUCGGCUGUGAGAAAGAAGCCAUGUGAGGAUAGGACAGCAUCUGGGAACAAUGACCACUUCAUAUUCCUGUGUAUGGAUCCUGGGUACAAGCAGAGAACUGUAGAUGUUUCCCCUGGAUAUAUGAAUAUCAGCAUUUUUUAUUUUUAUAAAAGUCUGUUCAAAAAAGUAAAUUUAUAAAUUAAAUAAAAAAUAUGUCUUCGUUGAAGAAAGAUGGUAUAGGUAGGGGAUAUAGCAAGGAUGGUGGGCCCUGACCUUUGCCUGUGAGAUCCUGACACUAAUUCCCGAAUCCCACCUGGGGAUUCCGAUUCAGGGGGCUCCAGGAAGCCGGCAGCGAGGGAGCAAAGCACCGUGCUCUCUGUGAGGCCCGCAGUAACUCCACACCUGAGGGCUGUGGCCUCCCAGUUAGUUCUUGGUGCAGUCCUCGGAGGCAGACGGGAGCAAGGAACCAGUGGUUGGGUGAAAGCCAGCAACAUUUGAAACUUUUCGUCAGUGAAUUUCCUGAUCAAUAUGAAGAAAAGUGAUUGGAGAGGAAGUAUGGAGAAGAAGGCUCAUUUUUCAUAUUACCUCGGUUAUGGUUCUGGGGAAGACUCUGACAUCUACUUCAAGUCCAAACAAGAUGAGCUUACCUCUGACGAAGACCUCCUCAGUGAGCCUUAAGCGUGCUGUCUCCAUUGUGUCCACCAGAGGGCAACGUGCCCAUGUUUCUGUAGAGAAAGGAAGCGCUCGAAACCUCUCGUAUCAUUUU
Molecule: non-coding RNA, 1196 nt
Organism: Heterocephalus glaber (naked mole-rat)
Lineage: Eukaryota; Metazoa; Chordata; Mammalia; Rodentia; Bathyergidae
Source: RefSeq, a predicted model, not a curated record